CCUGACUCCUACGGGAGGCAGCAGUGGGGAAUAUUGGGCAAUGGGCGCAAGCCUGACCCAGCAACGCCGCGUGAAGGAAGAAGGCUUUCGGGUUGUAAACUUCUUUUGUCAGGGACGAAGCAAGUGACGGUACCUGACGAAUAAGCCACGGCUAACUACGUGCCAGCAGCCGCGGUAAUACGUAGGUGGCAAGCGUUAUCCGGAUUUACUGGGUGUAAAGGGCGUGUAGGCGGGACUGCAAGUCAGAUGUGAAAACCACGGGCUCAACCUGUGGCCUGCAUUUGAAACUGUAGUGCUUGAGUACUGGAGAGGCAGACGGAAUUCCUAGUGUAGCGGUGAAAUGCGUAGAUAUUAGGAGGAACACCAGUGGCGAAGGCGGUCUGCUGGACAGCAACUGACGCUGAGGCGCGAAAGCGUGGGGAGCAAACAGGAUUAGAUACCCCGGUA
Molecule: ribosomal RNA, 447 nt
Filed under: uncultured bacterium
Lineage: Bacteria
Description: partial 16S ribosomal RNA
Rfam family: Bacterial small subunit ribosomal RNA
Source: RNAcentral